Molecule: ribosomal RNA, 1372 nt
Filed under: uncultured bacterium
Lineage: Bacteria
Description: bacterial SSU rRNA
Rfam family: Bacterial small subunit ribosomal RNA
Source: RNAcentral
GAUGAACGCUGGCGGCGUGCCUAAUACAUGCAAGUCGAGCGAACGGACGAGAAGCUUGCUUCUCUGAUGUUAGCGGCGGACGGGUGAGUAACACGUAGAUAACCUACCUAUAAGACUGGGAUAACUUCGGGAAACCGGAGCUAAUACCGGAUAAUAUUUUGAACCGCAUGGUUCAAAAGUGAAAGACGGUCUUGCUGUCACUUAUAGAUGGAUCCGCGCUGCAUUAGCUAGUUGGUAAGGUAACGGCUUACCAAGGCAACGAUGCAUAGCCGACCUGAGAGGGUGAUCGGCCACACUGGAACUGAGACACGGUCCAGACUCCUACGGGAGGCAGCAGUAGGGAAUCUUCCGCAAUGGGCGAAAGCCUGACGGAGCAACGCCGCGUGAGUGAUGAAGGUCUUCGGAUCGUAAAACUCUGUUAUUAGGGAAGAACAUAUGUGUAAGUAACUGUGCACAUCUUGACGGUACCUAAUCAGAAAGCCACGGCUAACUACGUGCCAGCAGCCGCGGUAAUACGUAGGUGGCAAGCGUUAUCCGGAAUUAUUGGGCGUAAAGCGCGCGUAGGCGGUUUUUUAAGUCUGAUGUGAAAGCCCACGGCUCAACCGUGGAGGGUCAUUGGAAACUGGAAAACUUGAGUGCAGAAGAGGAAAGUGGAAUUCCAUGUGUAGCGGUGAAAUGCGCAGAGAUAUGGAGGAACACCAGUGGCGAAGGCGACUUUCUGGUCUGUAACUGACGCUGAUGUGCGAAAGCGUGGGGAUCAAACAGGAUUAGAUACCCUGGUAGUCCACGCCGUAAACGAUGAGUGCUAAGUGUUAGGGGGUUUCCGCCCCUUAGUGCUGCAGCUAACGCAUUAAGCACUCCGCCUGGGGAGUACGACCGCAAGGUUGAAACUCAAGGGAAUUGACGGGGACCCGCACAAGCGGUGGAGCAUGUGGUUUAAUUCGAAGCAACGCGAAGAACCUUACCAAAUCUUGACAUCCUUUGACAACUCUAGAGAUAGAGCCUUCCCCUUCGGGGGACAAAGUGACAGGUGGUGCAUGGUUGUCGUCAGCUCGUGUCGUGAGAUGUUGGGUUAAGUCCCGCAACGAGCGCAACCCUUAAGCUUAGUUGCCAUCAUUAAGUUGGGCACUCUAAGUUGACUGCCGGUGACAAACCGGAGGAAGGUGGGGAUGACGUCAAAUCAUCAUGCCCCUUAUGAUUUGGGCUACACACGUGCUACAAUGGACAAUACAAAGGGCAGCGAAACCGCGAGGUCAAGCAAAUCCCAUAAAGUUGUUCUCAGUUCGGAUUGUAGUCUGCAACUCGACUACAUGAAGCUGGAAUCGCUAGUAAUUGUAGAUCAGCAUGCUACGGUGAAUACGUUCCCGGGUCU